GAUCAUGGCUCAGAACGAACGCUGGCGGCAGGCUUAACACAUGCAAGUUGAACGGGAUUUGUGUGGUGCUUGCACCAUAUAAUGAGAGUAGCGCACUGGUGAGUAACACGUGGGAACGUGCCUUUUAGUGGGGGGAUAACAUCUGGAAACGGAUGCUAAUACCGCAUACGCCCUGAGGGGGAAAGAUUUAUUGCUAAGAGGUCGGCCCGCGGUAGAUUAGGCAGUUGGUGGGGUAAAGGCCUACCAAACCUACGAUCUAUAGCUGGUCUGAGAGGACGAUCAGCCACAUUGGAACUGAGACACGGUCCAGACUCCUACGGGAGGCAGCAGUGAGGAAUAUUGGGCAAUGGAGGCAACUCUGACCCAGCCAUGCCGCGUGAGUGAGAAGGUUUUCGAAUUGUAAAGCUCUUUCGGGUGUGAAGAUGAUGACGGUAACACCAGAAGAAGCCCCGGCAAACUUCGUG
RNAcentral lists this ribosomal RNA (464 nucleotides) under uncultured bacterium. RNAcentral's name for it is "bacterial SSU rRNA". It matches the Rfam family "Bacterial small subunit ribosomal RNA", at positions 15 to 507 of the family's 1533-position model. The record is from RNAcentral.